RNAcentral lists this ribosomal RNA (465 nucleotides) under Vreelandella stevensii. RNAcentral describes it as "partial 16S ribosomal RNA". It matches the Rfam family "Bacterial small subunit ribosomal RNA", at positions 338 to 795 of the family's 1533-position model. Lineage: Bacteria; Pseudomonadati; Pseudomonadota; Gammaproteobacteria; Oceanospirillales; Halomonadaceae. The record is from RNAcentral.
CCUACGGGAGGCAGCAGUGGGGAAUAUUGGACAAUGGGGGGAACCCUGAUCCAGCCAUGCCGCGUGUGUGAAGAAGGCCCUCGGGUUGUAAAGCACUUUCAGUGAGGAAGAACGCCUGGUGGUUAAUACCCAUCAGGAAAGACAUCACUCACAGAAGAAGCACCGGCUAACUCCGUGCCAGCAGCCGCGGUAAUACGGAGGGUGCGAGCGUUAAUCGGAAUUACUGGGCGUAAAGCGCGCGUAGGUGGCUUGAUAAGCCGGUUGUGAAAGCCCCGGGCUCAACCUGGGAACGGCAUCCGGAACUGUCAAGCUAGAGUGCAGGAGAGGAAGGUAGAAUUCCCGGUGUAGCGGUGAAAUGCGUAGAGAUCGGGAGGAAUACCAGUGGCGAAGGCGGCCUUCUGGACUGACACUGACACUGAGGUGCGAAAGCGUGGGUAGCAAACAGGAUUGGAUACCCUGGUAGUC